Small nuclear RNA from Psammomys obesus (fat sand rat), 107 nucleotides. The record is from RefSeq and is a predicted model, not a curated record. NCBI's taxonomy places the organism in Eukaryota, Metazoa, Chordata, Mammalia, Rodentia, Muridae.
GUCCUCGCUUCGGCGGCACAUAUACUAAAAUUGGAAUGAUACAGAGAAGAUUAGCAUGGUUCCUGCGCAGGAAUGACACACAAAUUUGUGAAGUGUUCCAUAUUUUU